RNAcentral lists this long non-coding RNA (3545 nucleotides) under Callithrix jacchus (white-tufted-ear marmoset). RNAcentral describes it as "lncRNA (ENSCJAG00000074675.1)". The record is from RNAcentral. Lineage: Eukaryota; Metazoa; Chordata; Mammalia; Primates; Cebidae.
GAGAAUGGCCGUGCCAAGUGGUCUGUAUAAAAAAUAAGCAAAGUCAUGGGGCCAGAGUGCCAUCUUUCUGAAUGAACCACAAAUGGACUGCUGUUGAUGGAAUACCACUGAAGACAGGAAGAAGAGGAACAGCCAGUAUGGAAUUAUAGAGAAGCCAUUUGAAUGUCCUUGAGGAGAACACAUAAUGCAAAUGCAAUUUGGGCUUUUGAAAGACAAUGCUGAUGGAAGUGUGAAGGAUGAAUAAGAGAGGAGGAAAUCAGAAGGUUUGGAAACCAAGGCUAUGAGUACUUCAGUUCAGUCAAGGGUUAAUGAAGAAAUAAACUAUGGAGGGCUGACUAGAAGCAGCUAGUGUGUACCAACCUCAAGGAGCGAAGAAAGUGUGGUCAGUAAUCACUAGCUCUUCAACUGGAUCAUCCAAGAGUACACAUUGGAAUUUAUGAAGAAAACAACACAACUCAUGGAGAAUAGAGAGGAGCAGGACUGGACAACUGCCCACUGGAUUGGUACAGAGCCAGGGGAGGCCCCCACCUUGGCAAAAUGCUGCUACGACUCCCUAGCCUUAAUCCAGCCCAGAUCUCAGCGGAAACUUAACACCACUCUGGUGACCCUGGAAUUGCACCAGAGUCUGAAAUCACCAAAUAAGGUAAGUCGUUUGUCAUCUGAGCCAUAAAUAUUUACAUCCACUAGUGACAAAUGUAUAAAGAGUGUGGAGUGACUGUGUAAUUUCAGCUGCUAUCCUCAAGCCUGUCAAUAGUUUCUCUUAUCUUGUGAAAGCCCCAAUGACUGAUUUCUGCUAGUUGAAUAGGAAUGCACUCUGCAGCUUGUUAACCUGCUUUAAUUGUUCAUUGUGACCACAUUAGUCACCUAGAAAGUUUUUAUUUUCCAUUGAGAUUUAGGGCCCAUUACACACAUUUGUUGGGACUGGAAACCAUUCAGCCCCCUCCUGGGUCUCCCUCAUUCCAUCAUAUGUUCUAUCCGAUUGUUCCUAAAACUCCAAGGGAUCAUCCCCAUUUUUUACUUCACUUUACUGAACUAACAGCAACAAAACAAUUCAAUGUUGUUCUCCCUCACAUACCCUCCCUCCACUCCGCCUGUAUAUAAUUGACUUAGGAGCUUGUCUUAAUAAUAUCUCUAAGUAAUUCUUAGACACAGACUGAUAGUUCCCAAACCUUAAAAAGUGACCAUACCACAAGGUGCUUAUAAUGUAAAAGUAUUUUCCAACAAGCACCUAGAAAAAUCUUUCAAAUCAUAUGAAACCGAAACUGAUUCAGUCUAACCUAAUGAGCCUGAAACUGAUCAUGUAAAGCAUAUCCUGUUUUACUCUUCUAUUAAGAUGUGGACUACUAAGAAAAAUACAAAAUCAGUUAAGAUCACGCUAUUGGUCUUUCAGUCACUAAAUCAUUAUGUAGAGCUUGCAUUUUUAUAUAUUUACCAAAUAAAGGCUCAGAUAGAGUGAUAAAAGCAUAUUUAAAUGAAUUUUGAAAUAUGAGAACUGAUAAUAUUGAAAAGUCUGGAUAAUUAAACUUUAAAAGACCUAUCUUUUUUCUUUUGCUGUAGGAAUAUGUUGACUGCUAUUGACUAACUGCAUAUAUACCUUUGUCAUUAGGCAUAACCUCAAAGAAAAAUGGCUGUAGAUUUCCCUGAAAUGCUAUAGUGGUUUGGUGGCUGAAAUUCAAUGCCUAACUGAUAACUAGAUUUAUCAGCCUCUGUAGGAUUUUUCCUGUAGGGAGAAUUUGGGUUUAGCAAGAACUUAAACAGAACCUCAGAAACAACUUGAGUUGAUAACUUGCAGAAAUGCGAACCACACCUGAAAAGAAAGACUCAAUGAUCUCUUAAAAGUUUUCUAACACUCCAGCUCAAUAAGGACUACAGUUUUCUUGCUCCCAUACUGUCUUAUUUAUAUUCCCAUUACAGCACCACACAGGAAUUUGAGCUCCUUGAUGAAGGAGUCUGUUGGUUUGUUACAAAAAUCUCUAAAAUUCAACACAAUACUUUGCAGAUAAUUUGAGCCCAGAAAAUACUAAUUGAAUAGAUGAAUGAGAAGGGAAGUUGAGAAAGACAAACAGGAAAGGAUCUUAAGAGAGGGAGUGUUUUAUCUUUAAAAAUUAGAAUUGGCAAGUGUCUGGAAAUUAGCCCUUUCUUCUCAUCUUUCUUAUUGGUGCCUGCGCGUGUGUGUGUGCGUGUGUGUACACGCGUGUGUGUGCCUGUACAUGAUAGCAACCGAUAAGGACAGCUCUAGUUUUAAUGUAGCAGUGACUUAGAGAAGAUUAAGCUAGGUUAGACUGCAGAGACACAGAACUGACUUAAGGAGGCUUGUAUUUGUAUCCUUAAAAAUUAUUUGGAAUCUAGACAACCAAAGUUAACAGCCAUAUACACAAGAUAAUUUUCAGUAACACAUGACUGCUAUCCAGGGCUGAGAGCAUAACUCACCUCUAGUGUACAAUUACCUCUUGACCUUCUGUUUUGCUUUCAACUUUCCAAAUAUUCAGAGCCCUUCUAAUGCUUUCUAGCUGAACAAAGUUCUUCCCUUACCACUGGUGCUUACUAUCCUUAAUGCUUUCAAAUUAUCUCUUCUUCCUCUCUGCCCAGCAAAACUCCCAUUACCGGAAUUACUUAUUUUCAGCUUGAUAUUCAUGUGAUUAUUAAAAUAAUUGUCACUAGGACUUACAGAUUUCAUCUUCCCAGGAUAUUUGCUUUUAAAAGGAGGAGUUUUCUAGUCCAAACUAAUUUCUAAGUGCUCAAAUAUAUAUAUGAGAAGAGAUAUUUUAAUCAGAAUGACUUCUGGUGGUUCUUUUCUACACAUCCCUCCCCUGACUAGGCACCCACUCCCGUAAUCAUUCAAUAACCCCACCAAAUAGUACAAUAUAGAAGUCAACACUGUUCAGCUUCAUAUGGUCAUACUCUGCGUUUCCUUAGGUUUUUUUGGCAAGUGGCUUUUUACCCUGAAAUCUCUGUAAAAAAAGAAUUAUAGUUAGACAAAUGAAACAAAGCUUAAAAGUGUCGUCAUUCAAAAUAGGAAUCACAGUGGAUAAGUCUUCAGUGUCACAGCCAACAUUCCCCAGAAGCAGACAAACUAAGAAUAAGACCUAGGACUUGUGUGAAAUCAUUUAGCCUCUUCCUUAUCAUUUUCUUAUCUGUAAAGUGGGAAUAAAUGUUGUUAUGUGGAUUCAGAAAGUAAUAUAUGUGAAAGCGCUGAGGCAACAAGCAUCUAAUUAAUAGAUCUAAAACAUUUUUAUUAGCAAUCAAUAUACACCUAAAAAGAACACUUAACAUUUGUUAUUCUUGAGCCAACAUUUUCUCCUAUGAAGAAUGAGUUCUCAGAAAAGAAGGCAUCUUAUUAAUGUUUUUUGCCUUCACAAUACAAUUUAGUAUUAAUAUUUCUUUUUUUUUUGCUCAUUUUUAUUUUAUUUUUAUUUAUUUAUUUUUUUAAAAAAUUUUUUAUUGGAUUUUAGGUUUUGGGGUACAUGAGCAGAGCAUGCAAGACAGUUGUGAAGGUAUACACAUGGCAGUGUGCUUUGCUUUUCUUCUCCCCUUCACCCACAUUU